Long non-coding RNA from Vidua chalybeata, 1882 nucleotides. RefSeq lists it as uncharacterized. The transcript is spliced from 2 exons. The record is from RefSeq and is a predicted model, not a curated record. NCBI's taxonomy places the organism in Eukaryota, Metazoa, Chordata, Aves, Passeriformes, Viduidae.
UGGACCCCACCCCUCUACCACCUCCAUGCCCCCAGUGUGAGCUCUGGGAGGGGAAGCAGGCACUGGGCCAUCCUCAUGGGUCUUUCUCUAAGAACACUGCUGGGUAAAAGUUGCUGCUGCUGUGCUACAAGUGCAGGAGAAGAGAACUUGCCGAGGAGGAAGGCUGAGGAGGAGGAGGGUGUAGAGCUGGGAGGGUUCUGGGAAGUUGCUGCAUGCUUGAGGGGGGAGGCAAGAGAUGAGCUGGAGGAGUGAGGUGCUGGGAGACUGCCUCUAUGUGUGCACAGCACACAGGUUAAAAGAAUUCAAGUUCCCAGGCCCAGAAGAGAUGAAAGUGAGGGAAUGUGCGAGUGACAGUGCUGGAUUUCUCCUCAGCUCCACUGAAAACCGGGAGCAGCCUGGAUUUCCAGCUUAUGGACCAGACUCUGCCAUGAUGCUGGUUACCUGGUUGCUCUGGCAAGUCCUUUGGCUGCCUUGUGCUUUAUUUCUCCUUCAAAAUAAGUACUAAUGAGGUUCAUCUCCUUAGUGAAGUAUUGAUAGUCCUUUGGAUUUAAAGGGAGCUUGUAAGAACAAAAUAGUAUGAGGAUUAUCACAACUGCUGUGCCAGAGGAUUGGAGGGGAAAACAUUGGUUAUGUCUCUCAAAGAGGCCAAAAGACGGCCAUGGGGAUUACAAAUGAGCAAAACCCCAUUUCAGUGUCCAGCAACUUGCUGGAAACAGUUCCCAAACUAAGGGCUGUGUUCAGAUGGCCACACUUUAAGAAAUCCCUCACAGGAAGCCUCCUCCAAAGGCAAAUACUCUCAGCUCAAUGACUGGCUGACAACUUUUUUGGGCUUUCUAAAUGCACAUAAGACAGCCAGAGCCAUCAGCGGGAAAAAAGCAGGAUUCUCCCCAAAAAGCCAUGGGAACCAUAAGCUGGGUGACUCACACAUGCACCAGUAGCAGGGAUGCCAACUCUGCUGCAAACAGAAAUGUUCACAUGAACCAUAGCCACCAUCCAAAGUUGGGAGUAAUCUUUUCCCCAAAAAGAAUGAAAUUAUCUUUUCUGUAGAAGAGAAGUUGAAAUGGUCACAAAGGGCAUAUGAAAGAGGGAGCAGGAGUAGUUUUAAUAAAAUAACACCUGCUAUGUUUUUCCUUUGGUAAAGGAAGAAGGGAAAUAAAUAAAAAAUAUGAAUGGCAAAAACCCCUUACAACUGAUAAAAAGGAAAUAGCUAUACACACAGUUAAUAGCUAUAACGCACAGUUAAUCCCUGCAAUUCCUUGCUGCAAGGCUGAGGCUACAAUCCAACAGAGGAAAAAAAAAACCACUUAAACAGGAUAAUGGAAACAUCCUGGGUUAUAGCAACAAGAGUAAACAAAAACUGUCAGUGUCAUUUUUUAAAGGAGUACACACACUUUCAACCAAGUAAGAAAAAGUUCCCCUGUGGUCCAUUUACUCCAAAAUUACAUGCCCUGCUGAACCAUUCUCUACUGCAGCCAGCGUGUCCUGCACCAGACAGGAUGCUGGUUUCAUGGACACUGUCCUGAUUUCAGGAAAUCAAGUAUUUCACUGUCCCCAACACUGCUAGGAAGGUGUGAAAAAAGGACUGUUCAACUGCUCUGUACCAGGCCAGCUCCAUCACCCCAUCCCAUCCUGUCCUGCCAGCACAUUCUGCAUAACCAAGAAACUGCUGACUUUCCAACCAGAGGAGGUUUCUCCAUUAUGAAGGAGACUCAGGCACUCCAGAGAAGUCCACAAGGCCAUGUCAAUAAGCAACGAUUUUUCUACAACCAGAGAUUAGAUGAGAAACUACAUUCUUCACUUCCACCUGCCUCUGACAGAUCUCUGUCCCUCUAGUACAGCACUUUCUGGACUAUUAUUAAACAGAGACUCAGAAUCAGGCAAA